GCCCCCAUCGUCUAGUGGCCUAGGACGUAGCCCUCUCAAGGCUAAAACCGGGGUUCGAGUCCCCGUGGGGGCACCA
Molecule: transfer RNA, 76 nt
Filed under: Anaerolineales bacterium
Lineage: Bacteria; Bacillati; Chloroflexota; Anaerolineae; Anaerolineales
Description: tRNA-Glu
Rfam family: tRNA
About the family: Transfer RNA (tRNA) molecules are approximately 80 nucleotides in length.
Source: RNAcentral